Molecule: ribosomal RNA, 990 nt
Filed under: Nimbospora bipolaris
Lineage: Eukaryota; Fungi; Ascomycota; Sordariomycetes; Microascales; Halosphaeriaceae
Description: eukaryotic LSU rRNA
Rfam family: Eukaryotic large subunit ribosomal RNA
Source: RNAcentral
UAACGGCGAGUGAAGCGGCAACAGCUCAAAUUUGAAAUCUGGCGUCUUUGGGCGUCCGAGUUGUAAUUUGCAGAGGAUGCUUUUGGCAACGUACCUUCCGAGUUCCCUGGAACGGGACGCCAUAGAGGGUGAGAGCCCCGUACGGUCUGGUGCCGAGCCGCUGUAAAGCUCCUUCGACGAGUCGAGUAGUUUGGGAAUGCUGCUCUAAAUGGGAGGUAAACUCCUUCUAAAGCUAAAUAUUGGCCAGAGACCGAUAGCGCACAAGUAGAGUGAUCGAAAGAUGAAAAGCACUUUGAAAAGAGAGUUAAAUAGCACGUGAAAUUGUUGAAAGGGAAGCGCUUAUGACCAGACUUGGGCUUGGUGGUUCAGCCGUCCUUCUGGGCGGUGCAUUCUGCCGGUUCAGGCCAGCAUCAGUUGCCGGUGGGGGAGAAAAAUAGCGAGAAUGUGGCUCUUCGGAGUGUUAUAGCUCGCUAUCAUACCCUCCCAGCGACUGAGGUUAGCGUUCUUCACGGAUGCUGGCGUAAUGGUUAUCAGCGACCCGUCUUGAAACACGGACCAAGGAGUCGUCCUGCUAUGCGAGUGUUUGGGUGUUAAGCCCCUACGCGAAAUGAAAGUGAACGGAGGUGAGAGCUUCGGCGCAUCAUCGACCGAUCCUGAUGUUCUCGGAUGGAUUUGAGUAAGAGCAUAGCGGGCCGGUCCCGAAAGAAGGUGAACUAUGCUUGGAUAGGGCAAAGCCAGAGGAAACUCUGGUGGAGGCUCGCAGCGGUUCUGACGUGCAAAUCGAUCGUCAAAUCUGAGCAUGGGGGCGAAAGACUAAUCGAACCUUCUAGUAGCUGGUUUCCACCGAAGUUUCCCUCAGGAUAGCAGUGCUGAUUCUCAGUUUUAUGAGGUAAAGCGAAUGAUUAGGGACUCGGGGGCGCUAUUUAGCCUUCAUCCAUUCUCAAACUUUAAAUAUGUAAGAAGCCUUUGUUGCUUUAGUGAACGAAGGCA